RNAcentral lists this ribosomal RNA (327 nucleotides) under uncultured bacterium. RNAcentral describes it as "bacterial SSU rRNA". It matches the Rfam family "Bacterial small subunit ribosomal RNA", at positions 32 to 350 of the family's 1533-position model. The record is from RNAcentral.
AAUCAACGCUGGCGGCGUGCCUCAGACAUGCAAGUCGAACGAUUAAACUUUCCUUCGGGAAAGAUAUAAAGUGGCGCACGGGUGAGUAACACGUAAGUAAUCUACCUUCGAGUGGGGAAUAACGUUCGGAAACGAACGCUAAUACCGCAUAAUGCAGCGGCACCUAAUGGUGACAGUUGUUAAAGGAGCAAUUCGCUGAAGAGGAGCUUGCGGCAGAUUAGCUAGNGGUUAAGGUAACGGCUUACCAAGGCUACGAUCUGUAACCGGUCUAAGAGGACGGUCGGUCACACUGACACUGAAUAACGGGUCAGACUCCUACGGGAGGCA